AUACGGAGGGUGCAAGCGUUGUUCGGAAUUACUGGGCGUAAAGCGCGCGUAGGCGGUCUGUUAUGUCAGAUGUGAAAGUCCUCGGCUCAACCGGGGAAGUGCAUUUGAAACUGGCAGACUUGAGUACUGGAGGGGGUGGUGGAAUUCCCGGUGUAGAGGUGAAAUUCGUAGAUAUCGGGAGGAAUACCGGUGGCGAAGGCGACCACCUGGCCAGAUACUGACGCUGAGGUGCGAAAGCGUGGGGAGCAAACAGGAUUAGAAACCCGAGUAGUCC
RNAcentral lists this ribosomal RNA (274 nucleotides) under uncultured bacterium. RNAcentral describes it as "partial 16S ribosomal RNA". It matches the Rfam family "Bacterial small subunit ribosomal RNA", at positions 523 to 796 of the family's 1533-position model. The record is from RNAcentral.